RNAcentral lists this ribosomal RNA (118 nucleotides) under uncultured bacterium. RNAcentral's name for it is "partial 16S ribosomal RNA". It matches the Rfam family "Bacterial small subunit ribosomal RNA", at positions 1369 to 1482 of the family's 1533-position model. The record is from RNAcentral.
CGUUCCCGGGCCUUGUACACACCGCCCGUCACACCACGAAAAGCGAGCAACACCCGAAGCCGGUGGCCUAACCGCAAGGAGGGAGCCGUCGAAAGGGUGGGGGCCCGUGAUUGGGGUG